UUGAUCCUGGCUCAGGACGAACGCUGGCGGCGUGCUUAACACAUGCAAGUCGAGCGGUAAGGCCCUUCGGGGUACACGAGCGGCGAACGGGUGAGUAACACGUGGGUGAUCUGCCUCGUACUCUGGGAUAAGCCUGGGAAACUGGGUCUAAUACCGGAUAUGACCACGAGUCGCAUGGUUUGUGGUGGAAAGAUUUAUCGGUGCGAGAUGGGCCCGCGGCCUAUCAGCUUGUUGGUGGGGUAAUGGCCUACCAAGGCGACGACGGGUAGCCGGCCUGAGAGGGCGACCGGCCACACUGGGACUGAGACACGGCCCAGACUCCUACGGGAGGCAGCAGUGGGGAAUAUUGCACAAUGGGCGGAAGCCUGAUGCAGCGACGCCGCGUGCGGGAUGACGGCCUUCGGGUUGUAAACCGCUUUCGACAGGGACGAAGCGUGAGUGACGGUACCUGUAGAAGAAGCACCGGCCAACUACGUGCCAGCAGCCG
RNAcentral lists this ribosomal RNA (487 nucleotides) under Nocardia wallacei. Its description in RNAcentral is "bacterial SSU rRNA". It matches the Rfam family "Bacterial small subunit ribosomal RNA", at positions 13 to 517 of the family's 1533-position model. The record is from RNAcentral. Lineage: Bacteria; Bacillati; Actinomycetota; Actinomycetes; Mycobacteriales; Nocardiaceae.